GGGUUGUGAGGUUAAGCGACUAAGCGUACACGGUGGAUGCCCUGGCAGUCAGAGGCGAUGAAGGGCGUGCUAAUCUGCGAUAAGCGCCGGUAAGGUGAUAUGAACCGUUAUAACCGGCGAUACCCGAAUGGGGAAACCCAGUGUGACUCGUCACACUAUCAUUAACUGAAUCCAUAGGUUAAUGAGGCGAACCGGGGAACUGAAACAUCUAAGUACCCCGAGGAAAAGAAAUCAACCGAGAUUCCCCAGUAGCGGCGAGCGAACGGGGAGGAGCCCAGAGCCUGAAUCAGCAUGUGUGUUAGUGGAAGCGUCUGGAAAGGCGCGCGAUACAGGGUGACAGCCCCGUACACAAAAGCGCAUGUGCUGUGAGCUCGAUGAGUAGGGCGGGACACGUGGUAUCCUGUCUGAAUAUGGGGGGACCAUCCUCCAAGGCUAAAUACUCCUGACUGACCGAUAGUGAACCAGUACCGUGAGGGAAAGGCGAAAAGAACCCCGGCGAGGGGAGUGAAAAAGAACCUGAAACCGUGUACGUACAAGCAGUGGGAGCACAGGUUUACCUGUGUGACUGCGUACCUUUUGUAUAAUGGGUCAGCGACUUAUAUUCUGUAGCAAGGUUAACCGAAUAGGGGAGCCGGAGGGAAACCGAGUCUUAAUUGGGCGUUAAGUUGCAGGGUAUAGACCCGAAACCCGGUGAUCUAGCCAUGGGCAGGUUGAAGGUUGGGUAACACUAACUGGAGGACCGAACCGACUAAUGUUGAAAAAUUAGCGGAUGACCUGUGGCUGGGGGUGAAAGGCCAAUCAAACCGGGAGAUAGCUGGUUCUCCCCGAAAGCUAUUUAGGUAGCGCCUCGUGAAUUCAUCUCCGGGGGUAGAGCACUGUUUCGGCUAGGGGGCCAUCCCGGCUUACCAACCCGAUGCAAACUGCGAAUACCGGAGAAUGUUAUCACGGGAGACACACGGCGGGUGCUAACGUCCGUCGUGAAGAGGGAAACAACCCAGACCGCCAGCUAAGGUCCCAAAGUCAUGGUUAAGUGGGAAACGAUGUGGGAAGGCCCAGACAGCCAGGAUGUUGGCUUAGAAGCAGCCAUCAUUUAAAGAAAGCGUAAUAGCUCACUGGUCGAGUCGGCCUGCGCGGAAGAUGUAACGGGGCUAAACCAUGCACCGAAGCUGCGGCAGCGACACUGUGUGUUGUUGGGUAGGGGAGCGUUCUGUAAGCCUGUGAAGGUGGCCUGUGAGGGUUGCUGGAGGUAUCAGAAGUGCGAAUGCUGACAUAAGUAACGAUAAAGCGGGUGAAAAGCCCGCUCGCCGGAAGACCAAGGGUUCCUGUCCAACGUUAAUCGGGCAGGGUGAGUCGACCCUAAGGCGAGGCCGAAAGGCGUAGUCGAUGGGAAACAGGUUAAUAUUCCUGUACUUGGUGUUACUGCGAAGGGGGACGGAGAAGGCUAUGUUGGCCGGGCGACGGUUGUCCCGGUUUAAGCGUGUAGGUGUGUGUUCCAGGUAAAUCCGGUUCACUUUAACACUGAGGCGUGAUGACGAGGCACUACGGUGCUGAAGCAACAAAUGCCCUGCUUCCAGGAAAAGCCUCUAAGCAUCAGGUAACAUCAAAUCGUACCCCAAACCGACACAGGUGGUCAGGUAGAGAAUACCAAGGCGCUUGAGAGAACUCGGGUGAAGGAACUAGGCAAAAUGGUGCCGUAACUUCGGGAGAAGGCACGCUGACACGUAGGUGAAGUGAUUUACUCAUGGAGCUGAAGUCAGUCGAAGAUACCAGCUGGCUGCAACUGUUUAUUAAAAACACAGCACUGUGCAAACACGAAAGUGGACGUAUACGGUGUGACGCCUGCCCGGUGCCGGAAGGUUAAUUGAUGGGGUCAGCGCAAGCGAAGCUCCUGAUCGAAGCCCCGGUAAACGGCGGCCGUAACUAUAACGGUCCUAAGGUAGCGAAAUUCCUUGUCGGGUAAGUUCCGACCUGCACGAAUGGCGUAAUGAUGGCCAGGCUGUCUCCACCCGAGACUCAGUGAAAUUGAACUCGCUGUGAAGAUGCAGUGUACCCGCGGCAAGACGGAAAGACCCGUGAACCUUUACUAUAGCUUGACACUGAACAUUGAGCCUUGAUGUGUAGGAUAGGUGGGAGGCUUUGAAGUGUGGACGCCAGUCUGCAUGGAGCCGACCUUGAAAUACCACCCUUUAAUGUUUGAUGUUCUAACGUGGACCCGUAAUCCGGGUUGCGGACAGUGUCUGGUGGGUAGUUUGACUGGGGCGGUCUCCUCCUAAAGAGUAACGGAGGAGCACGAAGGUUGGCUAAUCCUGGUCGGACAUCAGGAGGUUAGUGCAAUGGCAUAAGCCAGCUUGACUGCGAGCGUGACGGCGCGAGCAGGUGCGAAAGCAGGUCAUAGUGAUCCGGUGGUUCUGAAUGGAAGGGCCAUCGCUCAACGGAUAAAAGGUACUCCGGGGAUAACAGGCUGAUACCGCCCAAGAGUUCAUAUCGACGGCGGUGUUUGGCACCUCGAUGUCGGCUCAUCACAUCCUGGGGCUGAAGUAGGUCCCAAGGGUAUGGCUGUUCGCCAUUUAAAGUGGUACGCGAGCUGGGUUUAGAACGUCGUGAGACAGUUCGGUCCCUAUCUGCCGUGGGCGCUGGAGAACUGAGGGGGGCUGCUCCUAGUACGAGAGGACCGGAGUGGACGCAUCACUGGUGUUCGGGUUGUCAUGCCAAUGGCACUGCCCGGUAGCUAAAUGCGGAAGAGAUAAGUGCUGAAAGCAUCUAAGCACGAAACUUGCCCGAGAUGAGUUCUCCCUGAGACUUAGAGUCUCCUGAAGGAACGUUGAAGACGACGACGUUGAUAGGCCGGGUGUGUAAGCGCAGCGAUGCGUUGAGCUAACCGGUACUAAUGAACCGUGAGGCUUAACCUUACAACGCCGAAG
Molecule: ribosomal RNA, 2921 nt
Filed under: Salmonella enterica subsp. enterica serovar Newport str. CVM 21554
Lineage: Bacteria; Pseudomonadati; Pseudomonadota; Gammaproteobacteria; Enterobacterales; Enterobacteriaceae
Description: bacterial LSU rRNA
Rfam family: Bacterial large subunit ribosomal RNA
Source: RNAcentral